CUCUUCGGGGAUGAUUAAACCGGCGCACGGGUGAGUAACACGUGAGUGACCUGCCUUUUAGACUGGAACAACUUACCGAAAGGUGAGCUAAUGCCGGAUGAGUUAUAUAAGUGCAUGUUUAUAUAGGAAAAGUUGGGGAGACCUGACGCUGAAAGAUGGACUCGCGUCCCAUUAGCUAGUUGGUAGGGUAAUGGCCUACCAAGGCGACGAUGGGUAGCCGGCCUGAGAGGGUGGCCGGCCACACUGGGACUGAGACACGGCCCAGACUCCUACGGGAGGCAGCAGUGGGGAAUUUUGCGCAAUGCUCGUAAGAGUGACGCAGCGACGCCGCGUGAAUGACGAAGGCCUUCGGGUCGUAAAGUUCUUUCGACAGGGAAGAAAAUGCCUAUAAGUAACUGUGUAUGUAUUGACGGUACCUGUAUAAGCAGCCCCGGCUAACUCCGUGCCAGCAGCCGCGGUAAUACGGAGGGGGCGAGCGUUGUUCGGAGUGACUGGGCGUAAAGAGCACGUAGGCGGUGUUGUAGGUCAUUAGUCAAAGACUAGAGCUCAACUUUAGUAAGGCUAGUGAUACUAUAAUACUAGAGUAUCAGAGAGGAUUGCAGAAUUCCUGGUGUAGCGGUGAAAUGCGUAGAUAUCAGGAGGAAUACCGUUAGCGAAGGCGGCAAUCUGGCUGGAAACUGACGCUGAGGUGCGAAAGCGUGGGUAGCAAACAGGAUUAGAUACCCUGGUAGUCCACGCUGUAAACGAUGGAUGCUAGGUGUUGGGCUUUUAAGUUCAGUGCCGCAGNCAACGCGAUAAGCAUCCCGCCU
RNAcentral lists this ribosomal RNA (809 nucleotides) under uncultured bacterium. RNAcentral's name for it is "bacterial SSU rRNA". It matches the Rfam family "Bacterial small subunit ribosomal RNA", at positions 76 to 874 of the family's 1533-position model. The record is from RNAcentral.